Molecule: long non-coding RNA, 214 nt
Filed under: Elaeis guineensis (African oil palm)
Lineage: Eukaryota; Viridiplantae; Streptophyta; Magnoliopsida; Arecales; Arecaceae
Description: long non-coding RNA (EGUI_LNC063375)
Source: RNAcentral
UCCUUUGAGGAUCAUCGAUCAUCAAAAUGAUGUCCGAUGAGUCCCAUAAUCUGCUAGUGACACCUAGCAGUAUGUAGUGCAAACAUAGUGGAAUGAAAGUGUGAGCCCCUAAGUGCAGUUAUCGUAUGAUUCAGUCUUAUUAUGAGUUCCGACUGGAUGGAGGUCAUAGAGAAUUCGUCAGACCCCAUUGUCAGUCAUAUGUUAGAUUGGCUCA